This 477-nucleotide ribosomal RNA is filed under the name uncultured bacterium. Its description in RNAcentral is "bacterial SSU rRNA". It matches the Rfam family "Bacterial small subunit ribosomal RNA", at positions 365 to 832 of the family's 1533-position model. The record is from RNAcentral.
UUCGCAAUGCCCGAAAGGGUGACGAAGCGACGCCGCGUGCGGGAAGAAGGCCUUCGGGUUGUAAACCCCUGUCGGGAGUUAAGAAAUGCAGAGAUGUUAAUAGCGUCUUUGCUUGACUAAGGCUCCGGAGGAAGCCACGGCUAACUCUGUGCCAACAGCCGCGGUAAUACAGAGGCGGCAAGCGUUGUUCGGAAUUAUUGGGCGUAAAGAGCACGUAGGCGGCUAUGUAAGUCGGUUGUGAAAGCCUUCCGCUCAACGGGAGAACAGCAUCCGAUACUGCAUGGCUUGAGUGCGGGAGGGGAGAGUGGAACUUCUGGUGGAGCGGUGAAAUGCGUAGAUAUCAGAAGGAACGCCGGCGGCGAAAGCGGCUCUCUGGCCCAUAACUGACGCUGAGUGUGCGAAAGCUAGGGGAGCAAACGGGAUUAGAUACCCCGGUAGUCCUAGCCGUAAACGAUGGGCACUAAGUAGAGGGGUUUU